Molecule: long non-coding RNA, 10817 nt
Filed under: Triticum aestivum (bread wheat)
Lineage: Eukaryota; Viridiplantae; Streptophyta; Magnoliopsida; Poales; Poaceae
Description: long non-coding RNA (TAES_LNC025236)
Source: RNAcentral
UAGUCUCUAGAAUGCGUACAUCACACCAUCUUCUCCAGGCCACAAAAUCCUGUGCCCUCGAAUAUUGUUUCUUUCUCUGGCUUACCUUGCAACGCCGGUGCUGCUCGCUGCAGAAUGCUAGACUGCCGAUCCGCCUUUUGGAUAUAAACUAGGAAAAGUGCCCGUGCGUUGCAACGGGAGAAUACAGUAAAUGUAUCACACGCUACUGAGCAAAUGCUAGAGUCCAAUUAAAAUGUAUAAUUGUGUUUCAUUUUCACUUGGUCACGUAAUAUUUGAAAGAAAACUAACAAAAUAUCAAACCCUUCGCACCCGAUCCAUGGUUGUAGCAUAACCUGACGCCCGUUGUAGCAGGGCACUGACGGGUUGCAGCGUUUGUGAAGGCUGGUUGCGGCUUUAGCUUGGUCUCGCGGAACAACCUACAGCAGGUUGCAACUCCCGCACCCCCGACGACACUAUCGGAGAGGAGGGCGUGUGCGGGCAGCCAUGGAGCAUUAACGAAGGGAAAAGCGGAGGUCAGUGAGGAUGAGUUCAUGAAGGGAGCAAUUGGGGAAGAACAGGUAAAAGAGAAUGAGAGGACUAGGGAGAGAGGUAGAGGAUAAAAUUGCCAAGGAGACAAGGGAGAGACAUAGGAUAAGGUUGGCUCACAGAAAAAAAAACUGCCCGCAAGGGCCGCCUAUUUGUUUCCAUCCAGCUUUGUUUUCCUUUUUGUUUUCUAAGCCAAAACGAAUAUGUAGUACACCUUUUUACUCCCAUGUUUGAUUGGCUGCCGAUGAUGCAUAAAAAUGCAUGUAAUAUCGGAUUGUCCGAUGACGAUCAUUUCUUAGUUGAUAGUAGGAAUUUAUAUACUCCCUCAGGUUGGUUGGUCAUCAACAACAGGAUUUGGACGGUUGAUAGACUGCAACGUUGUGGAUGGCCCAACUGCCACUUAUGCCCGCAAUGCAAGCAAGUACAGAAAUCGGCGGCCCACCUCCAUUUCCAAUGCAGGGACAUCGUAAGGGUUUGGGGCAUGCUUAAGAGUUGGCUUGGGCUACACGAUGUCCAACCAACGGAUUGGAUAGCAAUGGUGUCAGUUAAGGUUUGGUGGAGACGUAAUGCUACACAUGACCCAAUCGCGUCGACCACUUAUCUCUUUGAUGUUGCUUGUCUCUUGGGAAAUUUGAAAGGAGCAAAACGCCAGGGUUUUUCGUAACAGCACGGUUCCGGUGGGAGUGUUGGUCGCCAAGAUAAAGGAUGAAUGCUCACUUUGGAGCCUGCGGGCGCAAAGCAUUUGUGUAAUAUAAUGCCGCGAGAGUAGCGUCUUGUAAUUUGGUCUUGGGCCACGAACUCUAAAUUCCUCUCUUAAUGAAAAUGAUAAAUCUUUUACCUAGUUUCAAAAAUAAAAAUACUCUAUCGGAUGGAAUCGGUUCAAUUUCUUUCUAUGAAUUUUUUAACGCAGGACCUGAAAGGAUCAUGCCGCCGGAAACUGCCCAUGCAAGCGAUUAGGUGAAAGAUGCAAGUAUUCAAUAUUUAAUGAAGUUUUGUCCACGAUGGGGCCAACUGUCAUGGAUUAGUCACUACAGAUAUCCUAGCGUGAGGACUUAGUCAUGAGGCCAACGAAUCUACAUAGUAGCUUGAGAGGGGUUGAGUGGGACGAGAGACGCGAUCUUUUUACCCAGGUUCGGCCCUUCACGGCCGAGGUAAAAGCCUACAUCCUGCUUCAUUGAUAUUAAUCAUGGUGAUGCUCACGAUUAUAAGGGUGCUCUUUCGCUACCUCUACCUCGAGAGCUACUGACUUGUUUGUCUUAUCUUGUUUAUCUGCCUGAAAACUUGUCAAACUUGUCCCUCUUGGGAUGCCCUGCCCCUCCUUAUAUAAGUUGGAGGAGUGGGUUACAUAUGGAGUCCUAGUAGGAUUAGGACUAGUCUAUUACAAGUGGAAUCCUAGUCUUGCUUCUUGCUUCCCUUGUAAGAUAAAUAUUCCUUACGCCUUUCCUCUUAAGCCGGCCCACAAUAACAUGAGUCGGCCCUCCCCAUGAGCCGCCUUCUGGGCCACUGGGUCUUGUCGCUCCUUUGACCCGCCUGCCGGGUCACCAAUGAGUCACCAGGCCCGACCGGGUCAUCAGUGAGUCGCCAAUCUUAAGGCGGGUUACCGAUGAAACGCCAAGUCCCAGCCGGGUCAUAUCUCUGGUCGGGUCAUACCGCGGGGUAUAUCCCCGACACCAUGUAGAAUCAUCUCUCGAUUGUCCGGGUAGUGCUAUCAUCUCAAAGGAUUCUCCUCCAAAAAAUUCUUCAUGAAAUCUUUGAUGAGAACUUGAAAUAUAAACUCACAAAGAGACAGCAUAAUGUGAUGUCUUGAACAANNNNNNNNNNNNNNNNNNNNNNNNNNNNNNNNNNNNNNNNNNNNNNNNNNNNNNNNNNNNNNNNNNNNNNNNNNNNNNNNNNNNNNNNNNNNNNNNNNNNNNNNNNNNNNNNNNNNNNNNNNNNNNNNNNNNNNNNNNNNNNNNNNNNNNNNNNNNNNNNNNNNNNNNNNNNNNNNNNNNNNNNNNNNNNNNNNNNNNNNNNNNNNNNNNNNNNNNNNNNNNNNNNNNNNNNNNNNNNNNNNNNNNNNNNNNNNNNNNNNNNNNNNNNNNNNNNNNNNNNNNNNNNNNNNNNNNNNNNNNNNNNNNNNNNNNNNNNNNNNNNNNNNNNNNNNCAAGAUUGUCGCGUGAUUUAACUUGCAAGAUGUUUAUCUCCUGCUUUUCUGAAGAUUGGGGGGGGGGCACUUAGGAGAAAUAUGUUUAGUGAUAUUACUCUUUAUAUCUUGUUUGCAUUUGUGCAACAUAGGCCGCAUUAUCCUCAUACAUAAUGGUGGGCGACUCUAUCGAACCAAUUCCACAUGACUGUUGUAUGUGGUUUAUCAUUCUGCGAAGUCAUAUGCAUUCACCUGAUGCUUCAAAUAAUGAAACUAUUUCGAAAUAAUUGGUAAAUGUUGCCACCAAAGUCUGUUUUGAAGACUUCCAUGAUAUAACAGUACCACCUAGGAAUCACCUAAGUGCACAAAUACAUCAUAUGAAAGAAACUAAGUGGCGGUCAUCUAGGCAAUAGUAAGCAUCCUUUUUGCAGAGCUUUAUUUUGCAGUAUAUUUUUUGGAACUCAAAGAGAAUUGUGCGUCGUUGCAUUGAGAGAAAGGAGAACCAAAGUACAGUAUGGUUACACCGAAGGCAUCCAAUAUCACGGAGCAUCUACUUAAUACACCUACAACUCGCAUGAUAGGAGUACUCAGGGUUGCUGGUCGUCCUACCAUUGUCGUGCUUGAGCCGCUAGGCGAACAACCAAAGGCGCCAUUCUCCCUUGAUGAUGUUUGCGACCACGCUGACAAGAGCAGCGAUCGCAUUGAAGAUCUCCUAUUUCGUGCUUUCCAUAAGCAGUGCAAUGUGAGGAUGAUUAGAGAGUUGAUUGCUUUGUGAUCGGGGUUGUGGCUGAAGAAGUUGCCACUGUCCAGCAUUCUACCAACAUGGCAUGUUGUUCUGGGCAGUGGCACUCCAAUGCAUUUGAUCGAAGAACUUCAAACAGACAGACCUCACGAACGAGCAUUGUAGGAGUAGAUGACCAGUGCAUUCGGGCUCUUGCAAGCAAAGUGGAUAGCAGGGCUGAUGAGGCAGCCCCCUUCGACGCAGCAUGUCAGAGGUCCAACAACGGUUGCAAAGAACAAGCCAGCCGAAGAACUUGACGCCCCCUUCGGCGUAAAACUUGACUACACAGUGGAUCCACCCCUCAUAGUCUAUGUCGUGGACAAACUUCUUGGCAAUCUUCUCCAUGACCGCAUUUGCGUGAUCUUGGAAAUGAUAAGCGCAAGUAAGGACAUUCUACAAUUGUGCAUACAUGUGCAAGUAUAAUAUAUUUUUUUGCGAGUGAAUUCCACUUUUUACCCCAUAUUUAUACAUUUGUGACACUAAUUACCCCUUCGAGUGAAAAUUCGUCUAGAAUACCCCUUUUGAAAUCUUUAGACCCUUGUUUUUUGAUGCGUGUCCAUCAGGUAAGGUGUGAGGUGACGCCCUGUAUCCAAAAACAUGUGGACGGCCACAAGGAGUGGAACAUAUAGACAAGAGAAGCUUGGACAAGAUCGCCAAUGAUGCCCUCCGAUCCUUACAGUUUUUUUACAAAUCAAUGACGCAACAUGCCGAUCCUAUCGACCAUAAACAGACAAUGCAUGGGCGUGAUGUACAUGCAUUGUCUAAACUUAUGCCACCAAGUCGUAUAUCACAUAAUUUUAGACUCGGACUAGGAGGCUUCACAAGUCAUUACACCCGGUAAUUUGUUUAGGGUUACUGUGGUUUUUCGGCACGUUUGGUUAUGUCAUAACGCUAUUGUAUUUGGUAAUGUAUUUGCCGAAGAGAGUUUUUUUUAAAAGUUCACUGAGAAGGAACUUCCAGUGAAUGCACUCGCAAAUACCAUCCUUCCCGGCGAACAUUCACCAUCUGGUGUGUCCAUCGCGCAAACAUGGCCCUUUCACUCAUCCCUUGUAUAGCCAGGGCUUUUGUCCUUUUUCUGUAUUUGCUCUUGUGUUUUGGCACCAGCACAAACAUUUUUUCCUGCGGGGUUACAUCUUUUUUUCGAAUCUAUAAUAAAAUGCAACGGCACAACUCCUGCCAGUAAAUGUGAAAACUAGAAUAAAAAUUGUUCUGGUAACACCAGGUUAUGAUUAAUAGCCUGUUCGGCAGCUCUCCGGCUCCGCAGCUCCGCUCCUGAAGCGGCCGGAGCGGAGCGGCCUGGGGUGUAUUUUCUGGGAGUUGUGAAAGUGGUGCUCCGUCGGCUCCCGUAUUCUAUGGAGUUGGACGAUUCCCGAACAGGGCCUAAGUAUACAUUUAAGAUUAUCUAGUAAUUCUGAUUGCCUGAACAAAUAGCCUUUCAGUCUUUAGUAUCAGCUACGAAGCACAACAUGAUCAGCGUGAGCCGUCAUCACAAAUCCGCUAGAUAUCUGUGAGCAAGAGUGCACUAUUCCAUUUUCUUGACAACACAAGUGAAGUGGGUACAAUAACGCUCACUAUCAAGGCAGCACCCCUGGUUGGCUCUAGUCUCUAGAAUGCGUACAUCACACCAUCUUCUCCAGGCCACAAAAUCCUGUGCCCUCGAAUAUUGUUUCUUUCUCUGGCUUACCUUGCAACGCCGGUGCUGCUCGCUGCAGAAUGCUAGACUGCCGAUCCGCCUUUUGGAUAUAAACUAGGAAAAGUGCCCGUGCGUUGCAACGGGAGAAUACAGUAAAUGUAUCACACGCUACUGAGCAAAUGCUAGAGUCCAAUUAAAAUGUAUAAUUGUGUUUCAUUUUCACUUGGUCACGUAAUAUUUGAAAGAAAACUAACAAAAUAUCAAACCUGCAGUUUCUUAACCAACAUGCAUACAGACUACUGAAUAUUGAACAACAGUUGUACCUGAAGUUGAUGGGCAGCAAUUUGUGGCUCCAAUUUAACCAUCCAAGCUACUAUAUGAAAGAUCAUGAGUUUGUCAAGUAGAAAAUCUUUUCUGAUGCAACAUUAUUCCCUGAUUGCUAUGGUUGUUGGAGGUUGCCUCUACCAUCAACCAAUCCAAAGAGAUGUGAGGCUGGAUCUUAUGGUCACACGGUUGGUCAGGCAACUGGGGUGUAGGUGUGUAGCACCAUCUCCGGUUUUUAUAAUUUCGCAAACGAUAAAGAUAAUCUGAAAGGCAAGACUUAUCUACGGCUUUGAUGUUGGACGCAAAGUUUGAUGGUGCGAACUUGAUAGAAGUUGUCAUUUUUAAAGGCCUAUGCUGUUGGUGCAUGUUUCAAAGGUAACAGAAACAUAACUACACAUGUUAAUUGGUUUUAUACCACACUGUUUUGUUCAUUGUUUUCAUUGCUUCCAAAUACUGACCCUUUCAUAUGUACCCUUACAUUGAUCAUAGACGGACAUAAAAUGCUUGUUUAUUCACCAGUGUAUUGUUGUGAUUUCUCCCAAAUACAAACCCUUUGAGAUAUAAUUUUGCUCCAAGCAUGUUUCAUUAUGAACAUGAAGAUAAACACUUCUCUUCGAAAUACUUUCAGGCACGAACUUCACAAACGCUGCCAAUUUUGGAAAAGCCGAAAGCCCUCAAUUCUUUUUGAAAAGCUGAUGUCAAAGCUGCAAUCUUUGAGAACGUCGUCUUGCCAGGACCAACCUUCGACGAUGCUAAUAUGAAGGACGUUGAUUUCGAGGGCACACUCACUGGCUACAUUGACCUUCAGAAGCUAUGCAAAAACAACAAAAUCAAUUAAGGCACAAGAUUUGAGCUGGGAUGCAACAUUAAAUCAUAGACAUAUUUAUGGCAGCAUCGGCAUCCUCCAACAUAAUUAGUAAGCAAGUCUGUUAUAGAGCACAAGCAGGUUGACAACAACUGCCCUUUUACUCCCCUUGAAAAUAUGUAUGUACAACCCUCUGCAAUACAUACCACAGCUGCAGUUGAUCUGUACAAACAAUUUACACGGAAGGAAGUUUCCCAUGAUUUUCUUUGUAGAUGUAUGGUUCACAAUUCGGCAACAGCAUGCCAUCACUUAUAUAUGAUGCAUGAGUUGGAUGGCAUGCAUUCUGAACUCAGUACCAAUGUACACACAGGAAGUGAUCAGACCCUACAGUACUAUGUGCGUUUGCUUGACAACAUUAUUUGCCUCCUCCUGGGUUGGUUUGUCCUGCCAUUAUGAAAAGGAAGUUUAGGUUAUUGAUGCUAUAGGUAUAGAGGGAGAGCAGGUGUAGAGAGAGAAUUUUGAGCAAUGCAGACCUUGCAACAGUGCAGUACGGGGUGGGCGAGGAGGCCAGCCUCCACGCGUCGGAACGAAGCAAGGUACAGUCCCUAUUGAUAUCGGUGUGUGACGUAACUGGUGAGGAGGAUAGAGAGGUACUGAUGCUAGCCGCCAUAACGGUGCAGAUGAGCAGAUGAACCCGGGUAGGGGAUCAGAUGGUGGUGGAGGAGCUCGUGGUUGUCUGCCCCAGUGGCACCUCAAGGCAGAGCUUGCUCCCUCGCGCCGCUGCUGCGGCAAUCGCUUGCUUGCUCCUAGAGAAAGGAGCACAGGGUGCAGGGUCGGCUCCAGGACAGACGGAUCCAACCCUGGGGAGCUCGUGGUAGCCGGAUCCCAAUGGCGUCACUUGCUCCGAGAGAAACCAACGGAGCCUGCAAGAUUGGUUCCGGUACCUACGGAUCUGACGCUGGGAGCCCGUGGUGGCCGGAUCCGACGGCGGCGAGCCUUCGUUGCACAUGCCCAGGUUCUGUCAAGCAGCACGUUCGGAGUCUCGGGAAGGCCCUUGCCGCCGACAUCAAUGUUUUGCUUCUCUCGUCCGCAUCCACGGGAUCCACACCCCACUCCGCUCCUCUCCCCCAAGCCACCGAAGACGAUAUUUAUGAGAGGGGUUAGGGAAGGCGGAGAGGAUGCAGAGUUCGACUCUGACUAAGAGUUCUCCUCUUGAGGGAUGACGCACGUAUAUAUACGAAAAUUCAGUAACAGGAUUGCUUCGUUCCAGUUUUCUUUGUCUCUUGAUCGCAGGAAAGCAGAUCUAUCAACAAUUGUAUUUCCAGGACAGAAUGCCCUACAAAACUUAUAACCAUUGUUCUUUGAUCUAUUUGAAUUGAUAGUUCAUCAAGCUAAAUUCAGGACCUUGAUUAAGAAACACAGAUUCCAUACUGACUGUGUUCUAUCUUGUUCACAAAUUUUCUCAUCUCCACCUUAGAAAAAUUCUAUUAUAGUUUAUUAAACAAUACUUUUCAGUUUUGUAUUGUAAGAAAGAAAGCCAAUACACUUCAACGACAGAGGAAGGUAGAAAAUAUUUUGCAAAAACAGAGUGUCUGAUUGUGCUUCGUCCCUGGUUUUAACUCUUGAAUGUAAAGAAGUGAAACAACUUGCCCGGUGAAGCUAUUUCACAUUUAACACUGACCCAGGACCUUUAAGCUACGUGAAGCAACCAUGAUGUAUAUCUUGCCUUCAGCAUGAUCAAAUUAUAUCAACUGAAAAAACUACACACACCAAUUGCCAAAGCCAAACUUACCAUUAUUUCAGUCAGAAAUGCAGAACAUAUACGUAUCAGAUUACCGAAUGAAUUACUAUCCCUGAUGGUAGACAAAGGAAACUGCUCACAGAACAAUUCGUACUAUGAUACUAUGGGCAUAUACUAAAGCAUUUUGAGAAGCAUAGAACUAAGCAAAGAGACCAUGAAUCUAUUUUGAUACCCUUCUUCUGAAGCUAUCAUUUCAGGUAUCAAAAUUUUGAUGUGUGAUCUGGUGUCCGAAGUAGAUUUGAAUGCUAGCAUACAUGAAAAUCAACAUUUUUUCUAUUUGGACUUUCUUUAAGUAGGUAAGUAUUUUUCGGAUAACAACUUCGCUUUACCUCAAAAUUGAUCAACCGAUGUGCCAACGAAUAGAACUAUAGAAUUCAGUAAAGUAUGUGCUUAUGUAUUCCCAGAUCCUUGCGAUUCAAACAGUAAACUUCCAAUGAUGGGACUGCCUCUCACGUCCUUUAGCAGCGGAACUCCAUCGAUUAAAUCCUGCUGAUGUAAAAAGAGAAUGUGAUUACUACAGGAUAGUUAUAGAUUAGCCACCAAGAAAAAAAAGGCAAAUACAAAAGGAAAAAUAAAGCUGGAAUAUUUAUCCAUUGCUUAGUGUAAAGAGAAAGCACAUGCAACCAUGCAUUUUUUAUCAAUUAUAAUUGUUUCUACUGGUUUCCCUUCUCCAAAUAACCUGGCAAAUUGUACAAACAGACUAAACAUAUACAAAUUAUUGAUAGCUCAGUUCAUGCCUAACAGAGACCCAUCGCCGACCCGACGCACCUUGAGACAGAUCUUCUUCCUUUGUUUCUUGACUGAUAUGCUGCAUAAAAGUUCUGUUUACCAUCCAUAGUAAUUAGAUUUCGAACAAAGUAACCAGGCAAUUAAGCAUAUACUAUCUCUACAUACUUUGCACGCUCCUUUAUAAUUACCCCCUCCGUUCCAGAAUAUAAGGUGUAUUGGUUUCCGUGCAAGUCAACCAUGUGAAUGUUUGACCAAGAUUAUAGAAUAAAAUAACAAUAUCUGCAAUGCCUAGUAGAUAGUAAAAUCUGAAACUACUUAUGAUGGAUGAAAUGAUAUAAAUUUCGUAAUGUGAAUGUUGAUAUAUUUUUCUAAAAACUCGGUCAAACUUGCACUUGUUUGACUUUUCAAAAAACAAAUACACCUUAUAUAAAGGAACGGAGGUAGUAUAACACAUACAAAACUAGAAACUUAAUUUUAACUAUUGUAGUUAAAUUCAAUUAUAAAAUCAGUAUUAGAGAGCUGAAUAACAAAUUUGUAGAAGGGGUGAUGUUUUUAUUUCUUAUUUCAAUGUGAUCAGCAAACAAAUGUGUAUAACCCACAGUCAAAGGAGAGCACAAUUUAAUGUUCACUUCAGAAAUAAAUUGUUAUAAUCCACAUUUGUAGAAGAGCAAAUUUAAUCUUACCAUCUAGCAAACAAAACCUGCAGCGUGAAUCAUCGCCACAGAGUCCAUCCCCGCAACUGCAUGCACCCUCAAGCCAUCAAGCAGUCAAGCAUGCCAGGGAAAAGGCCUGACUUAGAACUGCAAAACUGUGGUACUCCCUCCUGUCCUUUUUACUCUGUAUAUAAGAAUUGUCCGAAGUCAAACUUCAUAAAGUUUGACCAUAUUUAUAUGAAAAAAAUAUCAACAUCUACAAUACUAAAGUUAUACAAUAUGAAAAUUAAAUUCAUCACGCAUCUAAUGAUAUGGAUUUCAUAUUCUGAAUGUUGGUAUUUUUUCUAUAAAGUUGGUCAAACUUUACAAAGUUUGACUUCACACAAACCUUAGUACUCCCUCCAUUCCUAAAUAUUUGUUUUUUUAGAGGUUUCAAAUGGUGACUACAUACGGAGCAAAAUGAGUGAAUCUACACUCUAAAAUAUGUCUAUAUACAUCCGUAUGUGGUGACCAUUUGAAAUCUCUAGAAAGACAAAUAUUUAGGAACGGAGGGAGUAUAUGCAGAGUAAAAAGGACAGGAGAGUACAGAAUUUGCCAUAGAUUGUCAAAGAGAAUUCUGUGGUCCUUUCAUUCAAAUGGUCUAAAACAAAGUAUUGAUGUGAAAGAACAUAAACAUGCAGUAAUCCAUUGGCAUAAAUGGGAUUGCAAUAUGAAUCCUACAUACAAGCAGAGUAUAAGCUAGCAGAUUUGCUAGGCAGGCCAUAACUCUACCUUAAUCCUACAUACAAGCAGACAAUCAGCUAACAGAUUUCCUAGAAGUUUCUUCAGUACAUGAUGCAAUCUCAACACACGACUAUGCAUAUGCACAGCUAUAGUAUAUAACUAUAUAUUGACAAAUUAACUAUCAGAAAUAAUGAGAUGGGAUAUUCAUCCAGCACACAAUUCAAACAGUAACAACAUAAUUGGGAAGAACAUAGCAGCAAUGAAAAUGAGGAUCAGAGGAAUGGGCAUAACACCUCGUUCCUACGUCUACACAAUACAGCAUAGUUCUAGUGACCUUGCUCAACAUUUAAUUAAAAAAAUAUGCCAAUAGCAAGCAAAAAAAAUAAACAUUACAGAACGUUUAGAUCUCACCUCACGUUUCUAACACCUGAACUGCUUCCUGGAUAUAGAGCAUCAGAGUUAUAAGAGCCAAGAGAUGAUACAUUCUGUAUCUGUCAUUCUGCCCAUUCUCAAUCUUUGAGCGACCGGUUGAAAUUCCUUUAUCUGUUAGGGCUGCAAAACAGUACCAAAACUAUUUACUUUAGAUCAUAUAUGAAGCUGCUUUCUGGGUAUCUAUUACCAUAAUCUAUAAAGCAGGCCAUGAGAUUCCGAACUAAUGAGCAAAAUAAGAUUGUCUGUUGAGUUCACCUGAGGGGAAUCUACCGAUCAACAUAGAAAUGCC